GCUCCCGUAGUUCAAUGGAUAGAAUAGGCCCGUCCUAAGGGUUAGAUGUUGGUUCGAUUCCGACCGGGAGUA
Molecule: transfer RNA, 72 nt
Filed under: Candidatus Peribacteria bacterium
Lineage: Bacteria; Candidatus Peregrinibacteriota; Candidatus Peribacteria
Description: tRNA-Arg
Rfam family: tRNA
About the family: Transfer RNA (tRNA) molecules are approximately 80 nucleotides in length.
Source: RNAcentral